UUGAGAUUCGUGCGUCAUGAACCUGAGGCCCUAACGUUGAGGAAAAAUUUGCACAAGACACAACCAGCCGCCCGCGCUGCGCCGCUCUCACAAAUCACAACCAGCCGCAUGGCACCUGCACUUCUGGCUUGAGAUGGAUCGCUCCAUUUCUCCGGCAGACCAGCCCGCGACCCGUUCGAUGAAAUGCGCGGCCGGGGCGCUGGGCACUACCCGACCUUCUUGUCCGACGACGGCGCGUUGCUUCUGAAUGUUUACGAAAAUCACACUGUCAAGUAAGUCGUGGGAUGACCGUGGGAUCCACGAACACCAAGACAGAGACCAAACUAGUUUCUCCGAUCUCUCAAGUUCACUUGCUGCCCAGGGCGGUUUGAAGACGGUGAAAGGUGGUUGUGGGCCCCACAUGUUGGUGACCUGAACUCGUGAGAACCACACAAUCAGUUUUGGAGCAGUUCCAGUUCUCCUGAUACCAAUCUUUACAGCUCCAUGAUCAGGCAGCUCCGGCACAUCCACAUCAGCUUCAGAAGGAAACCACGCACCCAGUUUCCUCCAGUCAAGCGUGAGUCCAGCUCAGAACCUAACAAUAAUGAUCAACUGGAAACCUCCGCCACAUGGCGACUAGCAUCGAAAUGAUCCAGGUGUGGACAAGUCUGGCACCCUUGUAGACCUGGCCUGGUUGAACUCUGACGCAACGAAGAUUCGUGUGGUGUGAAACUGGACAGAGCUGCGGCCUAGAGAACGGACGGCCUUUUUUUCUCAGGGAAGACCAGAAUGAACUACUAGUUGGUGAACAUCCAAAAAGAAAAAAAAACAAGUUAGUUGACGUUAACAAAACGUGAGCAGUAUGCUAAGGCCCGAAGUCCUACUCAAAUAAGAGAAUCGUUGCAAAACUUUCUGUCUUUGACAAAAAGAAUUGGCU
This is a long non-coding RNA of Panicum hallii, 916 nucleotides long. RefSeq lists it as uncharacterized. Lineage: Eukaryota; Viridiplantae; Streptophyta; Magnoliopsida; Poales; Poaceae. The record is from RefSeq and is a predicted model, not a curated record. The transcript has 3 exons.